Molecule: long non-coding RNA, 1459 nt
Organism: Hemicordylus capensis (graceful crag lizard)
Lineage: Eukaryota; Metazoa; Chordata; Lepidosauria; Squamata; Cordylidae
Exons: 3
Source: RefSeq, a predicted model, not a curated record
GGGCAGCAGAGCAACUCUCUGGGCUCACCCAGACAGGAGUGGGCCCAUAGUCGGCAGUUAACCAAGGGCCCCCUGAAAUUUGGAGCUGACCCUGGUCAAGCACUUGGCAGACCACAGUAUGUGACUGAGAACGACUUUGGCCCUUGAACAAUUUGGAGCACCAUCUGCUGCCAAUCUGUAAUAGGAGUAAUCUGUCAUUAGUCUCAAAAACCUUCAUUCUAAUCACCAAAAAUGGGUUUCACAGCUGAGAAGACCAUCUUCCCAGUCACCACUCACCUCACCUCAGAAGAUGGGGGCACCUGCAGGAGAGCGACAGUGAAGUUGUCUGUAUAUGGGAAGACUGAUAUGGGAGUAGACAGUCCUUCAGGCAGGAAAAGGUCAUAUCCAGAAAGAGUGGUACCUGAAAUACUUGUCCUUUUGUGAGAGCUAUAAUUCACUGGGGCCUUUUAUGCCAGGAGCCAGUCCACUGCUGAGUAUUAGAACUGCCGAUCAUAAUUAUCCAGCAAAAAUGGAAACAAAGGCUGCAGAACAGCAGUGCUCUAGACAACUCUCUCCAAAGAAAAUCUGACCCACAGCCUUGGAUGUGGGUGACUAGGAGAGAAUGAAGAAAAGUCAAGCUCCAGUAACUUUUAAUGACAGAUCUUGUUAGGGUUAAAAAAACAGCACUGCCCUCAUGCUGUGAUUACAUCUGAAUAGGAACCCGUCACCCGAACCACUCCAGGUUGCAGCAUUGUGAACAGGCUUGUUCUUUCUAAAUUAAUCAUUCUGAGCUACUCAGCAAAGGGACCUGGGUACACAACGCAGCUUGAAACACAAAACUCACUGCAGGCUGCCAAAUAGCGGCCUAAAUGAUUGCUGCUGCUUUCCCUGACGCUAGCCUUUUUCUUUCCUUUCCCUUUUUCUUGCAAAGAAGAGGAUACAAAGUGGGUCAAAUUAGGAAGUGAUAGGCUUCAAACCUGCAAAAAAUAUUGCAAACAAAAGCUCCCCCACUCUCUACACACCACUACCAAAAUACACAAAUUAAUACUUAACAAACUAGUGUGACCCACUGUGGAGUUGGCUUUCGGCCCUGGAGGUCUGCAUUCACAUUCCAGUUCACACCGGGACUCACUGAAUGGGCUUUCUCUAGCUUUGGUGUUUUUAGCAUGGAACUUAUGUUGACUGCCCUCUUUCACAGGGCUGUUGGAAGGAUAUGGGCCUGGUAUAUGAAUGGGAAAUGGCUUGCAACACAGACGCCAGUUCAUAUAUUAUCUAGGCAAUGCGGUGAUCAUUUAAAACACUGCUUCUGUGUGGUCUUGCUCCACACUGGAGCAGCAGAGGUGCCAAGGGGAUUUUCUGGGCCCAGUAAACUAUAUGUGGAUUAGGUCCAGUUGCAUUGUGAGCUUUGCAGCAGCCCAAGAAGAGGCCAGUGCUUCCUACCUUCAUGGCUGUCCCACCACUGCUCUCCACUGCCAGCCAC